RNAcentral lists this ribosomal RNA (294 nucleotides) under Providencia rettgeri. Its description in RNAcentral is "partial 23S ribosomal RNA". It matches the Rfam family "Bacterial large subunit ribosomal RNA", at positions 1084 to 1263 of the family's 2925-position model. Lineage: Bacteria; Pseudomonadati; Pseudomonadota; Gammaproteobacteria; Enterobacterales; Morganellaceae. The record is from RNAcentral.
CUCAGACAGCCAGGAUGUUGGCUUAGAAGCAGCCAUCAUUUAAAGAAAGCGUAAUAGCUCACUGGUCGAGUCGGCCUGCGCGGAAGAUGUAACGGGGCUAAACUAUGCACCGAAGCUGCGGCAGCGAACGUAUCACUUAAACUGAUUAAGUGAUAUUCAAUAGUAUCAGAACGAUUGACGGAGCAACGCGACGUCAAUGCGUCCAACAAAGUCGAGGCGGAAACGUCAGACAGUCAGUUUAAGGAUACGUUCGUUGGGUAGGGGAGCGUUCUGUAAGCCUGUGAAGGUGUACUG